GUGAGGAAUUUUCCGCAAUGGGCGAAAGCCUGACGGAGCAAUGCCGCGUGAAGGAUGAAGGCCUAUGGGUUGUAAACUUCUUUUCUCAGAAAAGAAUUAUGACGGUAUCUGAGGAAUAAGCAUCGGCUAACUCUGUGCCAGCAGCCGCGGUAAGACAGAGGAUGCAAGCGUUAUCCGGAAUGCUUGGGCGUAAAGCGUCUGUAGGUUGUUUAAAAAGUAUUCUGUCAAAGAUUAGGGCUUAACCCUAGAUAGGCAGAAUAAACUUUUAAGCUAGAGUUUGGUAGAGGCAGAGGGAAUUCCCGGUGGAGCGGUGAAAUGCGUAGAUAUCGGGAGGAACACCAAAGGCGAAGGCACUCUGCUGGGCCAAUACUAACACUGAGAGACGAAAGCGAGGGGAGCAAAUGGGAUUAGAUACCCCUGUAGUCC
RNAcentral lists this ribosomal RNA (426 nucleotides) under uncultured bacterium. RNAcentral describes it as "partial 16S ribosomal RNA". It matches the Rfam family "Bacterial small subunit ribosomal RNA", at positions 354 to 796 of the family's 1533-position model. The record is from RNAcentral.